This 29-nucleotide non-coding RNA is filed under the name Rattus norvegicus (Norway rat). Lineage: Eukaryota; Metazoa; Chordata; Mammalia; Rodentia; Muridae. The record is from RNAcentral.
UCAUAUGGUGGUAUAGUGGUGAGCAUAGC